This 466-nucleotide ribosomal RNA is filed under the name Vreelandella stevensii. RNAcentral describes it as "partial 16S ribosomal RNA". It matches the Rfam family "Bacterial small subunit ribosomal RNA", at positions 338 to 795 of the family's 1533-position model. Lineage: Bacteria; Pseudomonadati; Pseudomonadota; Gammaproteobacteria; Oceanospirillales; Halomonadaceae. The record is from RNAcentral.
CCUACGGGCGGCAGCAGUGGGGAAUAUUGGACAAUGGGGGGAACCCUGAUCCAGCCAUGCCGCGUGUGUGAAGAAGGCCCUCGGGUUGUAAAGCACUUUCAGUGAGGAAGAACGCCUGGUGGUUAAUACCCAUCAGGAAAGACAUCACUCACAGAAGAAGCACCGUCUAACUCCGUGCCAGCAGCCGCGGUAAUACGGAGGGGUGCGAGCGUUAAUCGGAAUUACUGUGCGUAAAGCGCGCGUAGGUGGCUUGAUAAGCCGGUUGUGAAAGCCCCGGGCUCAACCUGGGAACGGCAUCCGGAACUGUCAAGCUAGAGUGCAGGAGAGGAAGGUAGAAUUCCCGGUGUAGCGGUGAAAUGCGUAGAGAUCGGGAGGAAUACCAGUGGCGAAGGCGGCCUUCUGGACUGACACUGACACUGAGGUGCGAAAGCGUGGGUAGCAAACAGGAUUAGAUACCCCGGUAGUC